UCGUUGUAGCAAUACGAUGGAAAGUUUAGUGGCGAACGGGUGCUUAACACGUGGGCAACCUGCCAGGAAGUGGGGGAUAGCUCGCCGAAAGGCGAAUUAAUACCGCAUGUGAUUAGAGAGGACAUCCUUUCAAAAUUAAAGUCGGGGCAACCUGACGCUUCUUGUGGGGCCCGCGGCCUAUCAGCUAGUUGGUGAGGUAACGGCCCACCAAGGCUUUGACGGGUAGCUGGUCUGAGAGGACGACCAGCCACACUGGGACUGAGACACGGCCCAGACACCUACGGGUGGCAGCAGUCGAGAAUUUUUGACAAUGGGGGAAACCCUGAUCGAGCGACGCCGCGUGGAGGAUGAAGGUCUUCGGAUUGUAAACUCCUGUCAUUGGGGAACAAUGCACAGAUAUUAACUGUAUUUGUGUUGAUAGUACCCGAAGAGGAAGAGACGGCUAACUCUGUGCCAGCAGCCGCGGUAAUACAGAGGUCUCAAGCGUUGUUCGGAUUCAUUGGGCGUAAAGGGUGCGUAGGCGGCGCGGUAAGUCGGGUGUGAAAUCUCGGAGCUUAACUCCGAAACUGCAUUCGAUACUGCCGUGCUUGAGGACUGGAGAGGAGACUGGAAUUCUCGGUGUAGCA
This 626-nucleotide ribosomal RNA is filed under the name uncultured Verrucomicrobiota bacterium. RNAcentral's name for it is "bacterial SSU rRNA". It matches the Rfam family "Bacterial small subunit ribosomal RNA", at positions 71 to 680 of the family's 1533-position model. The record is from RNAcentral. Lineage: Bacteria; Pseudomonadati; Verrucomicrobiota.